GACGAACGCUGGCGGCGUGCUUAACACAUGCAAGUCGAACGGAAAGGCCCUGCUUGCAGGGUGCUCGAGUGGCGAACGGGUGAGUAACACGCGGGUGAUCUGCCCCUUACUUUGGGAUAAGCCUGGGAAACUGGGUCUAAUACUGGAUAGGACCAUGCUGUAGGUGGUGUGGUGGAAAGAUUAGUUUCGGUAAGGGAUGAGCUCGCGGCCUAUCAGCUUGUUGGUGGGGUAAUGGCCUACCAAGGCGUCGACGGGUAGCCGGCCUGAGAGGGUGGACGGCCACAUUGGGACUGAGAUACGGCCCAGACUCCUACGGGAGGCAGCAGUGGGGAAUAUUGCACAAUGGGCGCAAGCCUGAUGCAGCGACGCCGCGUGGGGGAUGACGGCCUUCGGGUUGUAAACUCCUUUCAGCCAUGACGAAGCCCUUGUGGUGACGGUAGUGGUAGAAGAAGCACCGGCUAACUACGUG
RNAcentral lists this ribosomal RNA (469 nucleotides) under uncultured bacterium. RNAcentral describes it as "partial 16S ribosomal RNA". It matches the Rfam family "Bacterial small subunit ribosomal RNA", at positions 28 to 507 of the family's 1533-position model. The record is from RNAcentral.